UUUUAAUAAAAAAAAUGAACGAAGCAACUAAUUAGCUUCAAAUUCAGGAUCUCAAGUACCCAUCAUCAAAUCCUCCACUAUCUGCACUAGAUGUGCGUCAGGAGGCUAACAAUUGUACAACAUAUACGCAGAUUAAAGGCUUAAUGGUCUUAGUUAUUAUUUAUAUUUUAUUUGGGAUUGCGGAAAGAUUAAGUUGCGUGUGGUGAAAAAGUACGAUGAAAAAAUACACUAUUUAUUUUUGUACAUAAUAUCACGUUCUAUUAUGAUAUAUUUUCUGCAAUUUUAUCGAGAAACGUUGAAGCAUAUUCCUAUAUACUCCUUUUUUUUCAAUUUAUUUUAUCUAUUAAUAUUAGAUGGAUCUAUCAGUGCAAGGACACAAAAUAAAGGUUAAAUUAUAUAAGAAUGAAAAGUAUCGAUGAGUAAGCAAGCCGGAACACAAAAAUCUUGCGCUCUCUAAAGAGAUUUAAACCCUCUACGGCUAGCAAAUCUUUCGAACCGAUACAACGGAACACUAGCUUGUCCUCUCCAGUGCACAACGGCUCGACCCUCAUCAUAUAGCUUCACCAAUUCUGUACAAGUUAAAACUUCACCAAGAGAAAUACUUUUUUUGUCCCCUUUCUUUCAAGUAGAAUAGAGAUAGCGAAAGUAGAAUUAUAAAUUUUGGUUGUGUAUUAAUUCAAACAAAUAGAUAA
This 692-nucleotide long non-coding RNA is filed under the name Ananas comosus (pineapple). RNAcentral's name for it is "long non-coding RNA (ACOM_LNC016525)". Lineage: Eukaryota; Viridiplantae; Streptophyta; Magnoliopsida; Poales; Bromeliaceae. The record is from RNAcentral.